GGGCCGCACGCGCGCUACACUGACGGAGCCAGCGAGUGUAACCUUGGCCGAGAGGUAUGGGUAAUCUUGUGAAACUCCGUCGUGCUGGGGAUAGAGCAUUGUAAUUUUUGCUCUUCAACGAGGAAUUCCUAGUAAGCGCAAGUCAUCAGCUUGCGUUGAUUACGUCCC
RNAcentral lists this ribosomal RNA (168 nucleotides) under Jamesozyma lodderae. Its description in RNAcentral is "Kazachstania lodderae partial 18S ribosomal RNA". It matches the Rfam family "Eukaryotic small subunit ribosomal RNA", at positions 1484 to 1653 of the family's 1831-position model. The record is from RNAcentral. Lineage: Eukaryota; Fungi; Ascomycota; Saccharomycetes; Saccharomycetales; Saccharomycetaceae.